Non-coding RNA from Meleagris gallopavo (turkey), 11384 nucleotides. NCBI's taxonomy places the organism in Eukaryota, Metazoa, Chordata, Aves, Galliformes, Phasianidae. The record is from RefSeq and is a predicted model, not a curated record.
GAGAGGAAGAAAACCACAAAGAAAGAGGCAUACAAAAAGUUUAAAAAAGCUGUAUAUAUAUAUAUAUACAGAGCUGGAGGUGAACCCAAACACUCAGAGGUAAUUUGCCUUGAGGAGCAAGAGCCCUUGAGACCUAUGUGUGGACUUUGGAAAAAAAGAAUCUGUGAACAAUAGUAAAGGAUAUGAACGUGCCAUCCUCUGACAGUGUUCCUGUUUGACUCUCUGCAUCACAUGCUGUUCUUGAGAUGUCCUCUGCAGCUCGUGUGGAUGUGGAGAGGUUUUGCUGGGUUCCAAAGAUACUGAACUGGUAACCCGAGAAGACCAGGCAUUUGUGGGUGCUGUCAAACUCUGGAAAUGGAAAGCACCAUUGUGUGAGGCACCCUCUGCUCGGCACGUUUCUAAUUUGUGGGGAGGAUGAAGUAAGUGAAACUAGUGAAAUGUGAGAAUAACUUUUCCUUUGACGUAUCUCCCAUGUCGCUACAGAAUGCUUCAGCUCUGUAAUCAUCACUAAGAUUUUUAGGAAGGUGGGGAAAGUGGGAUAAUACCAAAAUACAUAACGUGCAAAACCACAUAGAGAACAAGAAACGUAAAGGAAGACAACAGAUUCUUUUUGCAUGGAUGAAAUCAUGAGUUUCUCCCUGGGAUCUUCCACAGCUCCUUUGAUCAGUCUUCCCAGACCUCUCCCUGAAAUGUGCCAACAGAUCUGGUCCAAGUUAGUAAGACUGAUUGUCCAACAAAGGAAUUGCCUCAGGCCUCCAAGUUGUUUCUGAAAAGAGGUAUUGGAUCUGCCUCUUUGGAAUGGCAUCAUUAAGACCAAGCAGAGAGAGAAGAUGCUUCCCAUCCUUAAUACUGUGAAAUGCGCAGAGAUGCAGAUGAAUAUUUGCCAUGCCAGAACAUUUAUCAUCAGAUUCCAUUUCAACGGCACAGUGUGUACUUGUGGGUUGCAAGUGCAACACGCUUAGGGGAUACCAGACUUCUUUCUGCCAAGCUGAGACAGGCUGAAAACCACAUUGAAACACGGGAAAUUGCAGCUACCACAGAUGGCAGAUGAGGAUUGUUUGCAGGCUCCCCUGGCCCUCCCCUCGAGGUUGGUUACAGUUGGAUGAAGGUUAUGGACAGGGGCUGGCAAAGCAAAGAGUCACUGUGCUGCUGUGAGACUGGGAUGAAUGGACCUUGACAAUACUGCUGAAUAGGAGUGCUUGUGGAGCCGGUACAAACAAUCUGUAAUUGUCAGAGCUGAAAAGUAAAAACAUGAUUAUAAACUGCACACAGGAUCAGCUUAUGUCAGCUUUAAAUGAUUUAAAAGUCUAGUGUCUGGAGCCGCAUCUCACUUGCCUGUAAAACUCCUUAAAGAGGACUUACAUAACUGUACAAGCAUGUCUCUCCCUUCUUGUGUGUAUUGUGAAAACUAACCCUUUGUCUAGCACUCAGAAGACAGUUUUUAAGACCGAUAAAUCAGGAAACAGGGAUUUUCUUGAUUUAAAUGGAAGAGAUGCUUGCCUUGUCAGAGCAACACUUUUAGAAAGCCCUGGUUAUCCUUGCUCUGUGCGGGAAGGGCUCUCAGUAACCAGGUGUUGAUGCAGCCCUGGUUACCUGGCAGCUUUGGAACCUGGAUGGAUGUGACAUGACUUUCUAAAAGCAGCAAACUUCCCUGAGAAGAGGAGCACAAGAAAGCCUCUUCUGUUACCUAGAGCCAACCAUCAUUACGCCUGACCCUAGCUCAUUACCCCUCCAUGUCUGCAGCAGAUGGUGACCUUAGGUGGCACUGCACAACACUGAGCGAGGAGAUGCCUUCCUUGUGAUUGUGGUUCCUGAAUGCCAAACGCUGCAUCUUCUUCCCCACUCUGUGUCCGGUCUUCCUUUAUGCCAUCACACCCACAGAAAUUAAAGUACUACUGUGUACUGGUAAGCAACACUAUUACGUAGUGGGCUACAUUUCCAAUUUUGCCACAACUGCCUCUAUUUUCCCAUCACCCAGCAGUGUGGAGUAGAAUGGAAGCAACUAAUUUACCAUGUAAUAAGAUAGGGUCCUGUUGACACAAGUCAAGGGCAAAACUAUUAAGUCAUUAGGGCUAAUGUUGUUACAUUCUGAUACAAAGGCAGCCCAGGCCUUUCAGAUGUACAUCUGACCUCUGAGGAUUAAGUUUCUUCACAGCUUAUUGUUGGUACUGAAAAUGUCUUCCCCCCCCCCCCCCUUCUGCUUCAGAUACAUUGAUCUUUGGCCCUGUGCUACGUACAGCUUGCAGAUCUGCUUCUGAAGUCCCGAUUUGCCCCACUUUCAUCAGAAGUAAUAAUAGCAAAGGCAUCACAUCCUUAAUCAGCAAUGCUGGGAAUACAUCACAUUGCUUUUCUUAGCUCUUGGCCCAAGGGGUUGCAGGCAGAAGGGAGAAGAUAGAGGUGGCUCUCAGGAUUCUUGCACAAAGUAAGAAAAGUGAAGACUGCUCAAAUCAAUCAGUCUAGACGUCAUUUAAAGCUGUGUAAUAUGAACAUAUCUUGCUAUAGCCCUAUGUUAUUUUGGUAAAACAACUUUUUCUAAUCUAAUAGCUCAUUAGUCAGUUGACAAUUUCAAUCAUCGUAUCCUCCAGCACAGCAGCAAGACUGCACUUGUUCCACUGGCAUUGCACAGGCAAGAGAAAUGCAGGUGGACUCCAGAACUUGCCUUAUUGCCCUGGUUAAUAUCUCUCAGGAUUCAUUUUAUUAACGUCAACUUUGUAGACUUGUUUAGUUCUGAAAAUUUUGGCUUAAUGCUUUGCCUUUUAUGAGUCACUCUUUGAAAUAAAGAGAGAUGUUCUCACUUGGAGUACUUGGUUAGAUUGUUUCUCUGCUGCUCUGAAAGAUAACUGAUCUUCAGGUGAAAUCGUGGAACAGGUUAUACUGAUGUCCUUCAUGUGUGAUGAAACUUCCAAGGUGAAUGAAGAAACCCUAUCAAUGGACAUCCCAAGCUGUUGUAUAGAUAAUUUGUCUGAAACUCCUGACCAAAAUGUCACGUAUUCACAUACUGGCAUUAUUUCACGAGGAAGGCUCAUUUUAUAUGAUGUUUUUGUCUGAGACUGUAUUGAAUUUCAUUUGCAAGUUGUUUAUUACAAAGUUAUAAAGCUAUGUGAUAGCUUUAUGGCUCAUUUUAAAGAUGUGUAGGUAUUUGCUCUGUAUUGUAAUACCAUGAAGGCCAGUUUUCAAAAGUGCUCCAAAUGCACUUAAACUUGGAGUUUAAGUCCCUUUCACCUUAAAAAUGUGAGUGCAAUUAAAACUUGCAGGUCUGGCCUAUUAAAAAUACGUCAUUCAGCCUCUCUGUUGUUCAGAAUGGGGAGGGGAGUGUAUGGGUAUUCUGUAAUGCAGCCACUUCUAAAAAUAUAUCUGAACCUAUCUAAGCAUAUCUUGCUUAUAAGUGUACCUUGUCCUUUUGAACUACUGGAAGAAGUUCACUCUCUGAAGGAGGAAUUGGCUGUUCUAAAAAGGACAGCUGGGAAGCAAGGCAUCCAGUGAGCUUGUGGCAAGCUGUGGAAUGCUAUAUUUCAUGAAUAUCUCUUUUAAUUUAUUUUUUUUUUGUUCCGUGAUUUUAAAUACAAUGGUGAUGGGAAAAUGCUGCAUUUCAUGAAUUUCUGCUUUAUUUUUUUUUGUGUGUUUUUGAGGCUUUAAAUACAGUGUUGACUGGGAAAGGGAAGUUGCACUGAGAAAAAUUUUGCUCUUCAAACUGUACGUGCCAAGGUAGGUCUCGAACGGAUGCUCAUGGCUGAAUUAAUAAACUCUGACUGCAGAGGUUUAGAACAAGAAUUCUGACAGACUCUUCACAUGACAAUACUAGUGGGAGUCACAGUAAUAUCAUCUGCUGCUGAACAUUGCGAGCACGUGAGUACUGUUGUGCCAAAGGUUAAUAUGCCAGUUUUAUUUCCUUCUCUCUACAGCUAUAAUUUAAACGAGUUGCACACAUAAGUGAUGUUAUAUGCAUAGGGGUUUGCAUUAAGUUUGCUAUGUCAGAUUUGUUUAUAAAAAUCAUAUUUUGAAACACUUGCCCAGGGGCUCCGUUCUGGGGAGCUGCAAGCUGAUUCCUUUUAAAGAGGCAGCUUUCAUUUUCCAUGAACUUUCAGUGGAGAUUUUGGAGCUCUGAGCAGGGAGCUCUGUUUUAAAAUUAGCACUUGCCCAGGUUUACAAUUGGGUUUAACUACAAAGCAAGAGAGAGUUUAAUCUUGUUUUACAUGUGUGCCGUGUGACCCUUCCCAUACCUUACAGGUAUUGGAAGGGCCCCUUGUCUCUCCUGGGGAAAAUUGCUUCCCAACAUUUUGGAGGCCGUUUACAAUGUUUUUGUUCCUAUACUGCAAUGUUAACGUUGCCCAUAAACCUAAUAGUCACACAGUAGUUAAUAAGGGGCAGAAAGUUUUAUAGUCUUUUCCGCAGUUGUUAAAAGCCUGCUACUGUAAUUUGGUCCUGACCAUGCAAACCAUGCAACAACAUUGGUUGUUGUGAAAAAUAAGGGGCCCUAUUUUGGUGUUUUCUUGGAAACCAGUGGGAAAGAGAACCUCUCCUUAGCAUCUAGCUGAAUGUAAUGAAUUUGAGGGUUAUUGAAAUUGCUUGGUUUGUAAUAUAAACACUCGAGGGCUUGCCAGCAGUGUACCUUCAGGAUGUAUGGCUAUUCUAGAAAAAGAAAAUCAUUUUUUAUUUCUGUUAAGAACCCAUUGUAAUUAGUGGCACUAUCUGGCAAUGGAUGCUUUAUCAAAUUGCCUUUCAGUUACAGGAAAUAGGAUCCAUUAAUGAUCUUGCAAGCAUAUUUUUAGUCAGAGUCAGCAAGAAUCAUUUUCUAGCUGUCUUUCUAUGUUAUGUAAACUAAGAGCAUUUUCAAGGUCUCAGCUGCACUAACCUGUGUGCCAUUCAGAACAAUUUUUACCUUCUCCAGCUAGAAGCAACCACACUAGUGGAAAUAAGGUACUUCUCAAUGUAAGAUUUCUAGAAUCAAACCUGCACUGAAGAUGGCUCAAAUGUAGUUAUGUUUGGACUUUGAGUACCUGUUGGGUCCACACUUAUUACAGUUCCUCAACACAUCAGCAGGAUGUAGGAGAGGUUGGAUGUGGGACAAAGUGGUGGCUGAAGGGUUGCCAGACAAGACCCAAUUUGAAAAGGAACUGUUCUUUACAAAUUUCUCCAAGGGAAGUUUCCACAACUCAGCCUCUGCUAAUAGCUAAUCAGUUACUAACUAAGGAUAUUUAUCUCCUGUACCUGUUCUAGUCAUGUGUGGAAAACUUGGAUAGCAAUUAUUACACAGCAGUGAAGAGUGGUAAGGGAAAGGAAUAAGGAAAAGAUCAUUUGCUUCUAAAUCAGAAUAUUGUGAACAUCACGAGCUCUCAAGUGCAGUGAUAUUGCAUGCUAUCUGAAAGGGGAGGGUUCUAAUUAUUUGGCUGGUGUAAGUCUACUUCAGUGCUUAAGAUGCUGUGAUUUCCUUUGGAUGCAAUCUUAACACCUGUGUUCCUGGGAUUACAGUGAUAAGUUUUGAGCCAUCUGCAGCAUUUCUAAAAUGCUUUUUGCCUCUGAUUAACAGUGAAUACUUUGAGCACAUGAAUUACAAUGCAGUGAGUACAUAAACCACUACACUGAUCUCCAUUGCCCUAUCUGAGAAGGGGGCUGUGGGCUGCAGUGAAUGAGCUUGGUUGGGUUUUCCACCCUCUGAAAAUGGAGUCAUUGGCUCAAUGCUGAAUUUAAUGGGAGUUUUGAAUGCAGUGAAUGGAUAAUUUAGCAAUGACAGAAGUAGAGGGUGUGCUGUUUGUGAUGGGUGGGCACUUCAAUGAGAAAUCUCCAUGAACACAGACAAAGCUCCACACUUAUGUGCAUUGGGACCCAAAUUCAACACAAUUACAUUGCUACCGUGCUAUAAUAGAAGUCUAAAAAGGAAAUGGUAUUAUUUGCUCAGUAAUUUCUGACCCGUUGCAUGAUUACACUACUGGAUUCAUUCUGAAACACAUAUAUGGGAGUACACUCAUAAUUAAACAUCUAAAAAUACAGCACUGCCAUUUCUGGGUUGGUUUCUUAAGAGUGGUUGCAUAAAACUCUAUCAGGAUACUUAAUACACUGUACCAUGCUCUUUUUGGGCUGAACUGUUACUGGGAAAAAUGAAUUCAGCGUUGCAAUGGUUGCAGUGCCUUCCAGCUUCAGCACACUGAGUUCUCUGAACAGAGUAUCAAAAAUUCCCAUCUCUGGCAGGCUUGAUGCUGGCAGGGUGGGAAGUGGAAGCAGCUCAAGCAGCUCCCUGUGACUGACCCUUCCCACAGUGCCUGGCUUCCUUGCAUCUCAGGGUUCAGCGCGCCUGUUCUGCUGCCAGAUGUUUUCUGCUUUACUAAGUGGGUAAGCUAGAAAAUCCUGUGUCAUCCUGAACAAGCUAUGGGGGGGAUGGAGAGGGAGCUCCUUCCACAAAAUGCUCUUGGGACUAAGUGCAACCCUCUGGCUUAGGUUUGCCCCCAAGGUACCGUCUGGCUCAGCACACUAGCUCCUGUCAAGAAGUCAAACGUUGCUCUGGAAAACAAACUUGUCUUCAUGCGGACGAAGAUGCUAUUUAAUGUGAUGCUGUUUAGCUAGGCACCGUGCAUGGAAACUGAAGCUCUGUUGUUAGCCCCGUUUCACAGACAAGAAACUGUACCUAAAUGAUACCUCAAAACUGUGGCAAAGCUGAGAAUAGAAUCCAAGUUUAAUUCCAUAGAUACUCAGCUUUCUGGGCUUUGAAAAGAGAUGUCAUACUACAAGGAAGUACUUCAGCAUCCUUUUUGUUUGAAGAUGUUUCCAAACAUUUUUCCUUAUAUUUGCCUCUCAAAAGUGUUGUUUCACAUUCAUGUUCCUGUUCCAUCAAGUUUCUUUCCUUUUCUCAGCUGCAAUCAUUAACAGCUGGUUUCUCAUAGGAAGAUACAAGCUGUCACGAUCCCUUGCCAAUCACAUGAGAACUGACCUAGGGAGAACAUCAACCGAAGACAGGAAAUGAGCAUUCCUGCAUGAAUAGGACGUGCAGGCAACUUGAACUCACAAGAAAGAAGUCAUAAAGUGUACUACUCUCUAUAAAAAGGGGAAGACUUGUGGAAAAGACACCAUUUUUGUGCCUGGCUCAGUGAAAGCUAGAAAGCAAAUCUCUUCACACUCCUUGAGAGAGAAGGUUGUGUCCAGACUUGAAAAUUAAGAGUUAGAAAGUCCCUCGGUCUGUCUGAGCUUUACACUGGGAGGAAAAUGAGCUGCCGGAGCAGAGGAUGAAUGUUGUCUUGGGUCGCCAUCAAGAUCUUGACCUGCCUAACUGAUGUGACUCAGGGAAAGAGGCUACUGGCAUCUCUGGUGCUAUUCCCUUUUCCCAUCCUGAGCGUGCACGGAGCCAUUCCCAGCCAAUUGGAGCUCUUCCACAAGAUGGUGCCGAGCACCGUCGCUCACAAGUGGUGCACAAUUGAAAUACUGCACACUUCCUCCCAGGGAAGGAAGAGGUAAGCCAAGAAAACAGGCCGUGAUAGUCAGAGAUAUUUAAUAUACAAAUAAGAAAUUGUUUCAUAAGUAUCUUAUAAAAGCUCCAAUUUACUUCCCAAUAUUUUAGCAGAUUAUCUCAACGAAAACAGCAGAUGUAUUUUGGAGCGACGAGACAAAUGUUUAGUGAAAUUAAAGUUAUUCAUGUGCAGUCACACAGGGAAUAUUUGCAUGAUAUUUUACUAAUUGCUCCAAAAUCUGACUUGUAGCAAAUAAACAGAGGAAAAAAAAUAAGCCAGUGGAAAGAUUAGCCCCAGGCUUCUCUGCCUCUCUUCUAAGUCCUCACAGCCUUUCUUCAACUGCUCAACUUUUUUUCUCUGGAAGCACAAUGUUAUUUCCCAGGGUCCAAUCACUCUUCUCAGGCCCUCUGGAUUUUCCCCCGCUACCUAAAUCUCUUCCCAAAGGGUCCUAUUUUCAUCUUCCCUUUGAGCCCAAAUUUCCAGUUUCUGAGUGAAAGGCAUCCACUGCUGAGCUGGCGUGAGGGAGAAUUUUCUUAAGUGCAGGGAAAACACUGCUAUUUCAUCUAACACAUUCGUGUAGGAUUAGCAAUGCAGAAAAAACUAAUGCCAAAGCAGUGGAGCGCUCAUUGCAGCCAGGAGCUCAGACUGGAGUUCCUUCAGCCUUCUGUGAAGAGUUUCAAGUUACGGCAGCAAAAAUCAAGUUGUCAUUGCUGCUUGUUAUGACAUUAUUUUAUGUCAGAUCUGUUUAUUUGCCCUCCUGGAAAAAGAGAAUGUAUUUCAAGACGUCAAAAUAUUUUGUUUGCCUUCAUUCAGUUGCAAGAGAAGCCUUAGGUGAGGUAGGAAAAUGUGCGUUUAUCACAUUUUGAUGUGAUGUAUACAACUAUGUAUUUGUAUAUGCUCUAUACUCCCAAACUGAAGGAGUGCUGAGGAUGCCAGACAACAAGUUCUGGAAAAUUAGCCAAGGUCAGAAUUAAAAUUGACAUGUCCUAUAUAGAAUCUUUAUGGACUGCGGGAGCACGUGAGCAGCUCACUGGGGGUGUCAAGCCGCCCUCAGUUUCACAGAAGCACUGCUUUUUGCCCAAGGUGUGGAGUGUCUAGCAAUGGUGGGUGCUUGUUGGCUUCUUCCUAUCAGUCACUGUAGGUGGAUAUGAAUUUUUUUUUGGAUGAUCUCUAGAGCUACGGCUCAAGAGUUGUUGUCCAUAGAGGAGCAGGGGCUCCAAGCUGCCAUUCCUCACAACUGUUACAUUCUGGUUUGGCUGAGGCCCAUCAGUUCCUGGUGUACUACCUGUGCUGCACACCUCCUGGCUCAUUCCACGUGGGUAUGCAGAAACCUUCUUCUGCUGGUCGUGAGGGGAGGUGAAUGGGGAGUGUUGAGCUUUAGACAUGGGUUAGUGCCAAGGAGUCCAUAAAUCGUCGGAUCAGCCAUAUAUCCAAAUGGUUCCUCAAGUACAGUAGUUCCACAGGAUCAGUUCCCUUCUAACCUGAUCUUUUAUGUUUUAACUUGCAGUAACGCAAAAGUUGACUACUGCAUGUUCUGAACAAAAAGGUAAAACCAAAGGGGAAAACAGCUGUUGUUGUUAUGGUUCUCUUUUUCUUUAAAGAGGGGUUUUCUAUUUCUGAUGGUUACAUGUUGAACUCACUUUAUUUGGCCCCUCCCAUUUUCAGGUCACCACAGGAAUAUGUAAAAAGGAAAUGUUUUAUUUUAACAGAGUUGAACAAAGUACACAAAACACACCCUUCCCAUUGCCUGACAUUCCUCAAGUUAAAUUGCACAGCCCAGCAUAACUUUUCCUCUUGGUCUUCUAUUUCAUUGAAAAGGGCCCAAAAUGUAAUAUUCAUGCAGGAAGCAUAAAUUGUAUUGCUGGAAGCAAUAGCAACCUCGAAGCAAAAUCCCUCAGGAUCACUGUGCUCAGGAGCAUGCAGGCUGCUCCUGGACCAACAAGUUUCCUCAGUGCCGUGCUUGUGUCUUUGCACAGUCUAAGCUAUAGGAUUUCUUUGCUGCAUGGUUUUCCUGGCAUUUUGGCCCUUGUGGACAGCUCUUGGUCUCAGGAGUAGCUGCUAGACUCUUGCCCAACCAUCCCACUCUGGGCCAUCCCUUUCAGUAUGCAUGAGUAACUCCCACGAAUGUAAAUAAAAGUUAUGUGCACGCAUCAAGGGGAAAUGGAUCCAUUUGUCAUGGCUCCAGACAAGCAGCAUCUCCCCAAGGAGCUACUUAUGAGGCUAUUGAGAAGCCAGCAGUAACGCGUGAUAGGCUGCACCUUCUUCCAUGUGUGUUGCAGAAAUUAUUGGCAUGUUGCUGAUGUUUACGGCGAACAAAUAGUUUAUUUCUGGGCUAAGAAAGAUUCCAGUGUAAAUACUCAACUGGCAGCUAGCUGGAAGUUUGCCACUUGAAGCUAAAAGGCCCAUGACCAAUGGUGUCAGAUUAACAUUUCCAAGUUGGACAAUGUACAAAUGGUGUUCUUGGACUGGAAUAGAAAUAGAUGAAAGUGGUCUGCUGCAGUGCAAAUAACAAACUGGCAACCAGCUGGUCAUUGGAAAGAGAACAUACUAUGGGAAUAUGCUUUCUGCAGAAAUACUUUAUUUUGGAGAUAAGCAUUAACAAUAAGAAGAUGAGGCUCAUUUAACAAGAACCAUAUGGUCUCAUCCUGCUUUUAUUUCACUCAGUAGCAAAGCUCUGAUGAUCUUUUGUGUGUGCAAGAUAGGGGUUGCUGUUUAUAAAUAAGCAAAACAGAUUCAAGGUAGUUGUUCGAAAUUAAAAAGAAACAGUAAUGCCUGAUCUACUGUUCCUUUUUAAAAGGUAUGAAAGGGAUAGUUUUAAUCCACAAAAUGCUAUUUCAGGAGACUGUAAGUGAAAGGAAGUGGGAUUAAAGGUAUUUGUUGGAAAACAACUUCUGAUAAAAUCAGGCGAAGAUCCACUCAAGAUUGAGUUAUCGACCAGUGUGAAACCAAUACACAAAUUUCUCCAAGCUGAUUUGUGUCUGGGUUCAUUCCAUAAAAAUGUUUGUAUUUUUGUGGUGAGGAAACAACACCCUUUUUUAAAGUAGUUUUAACUACACAAUUUGUUCUAUUAGCAACUUAAUCAGAGGUAACAGCAUUUCACACUCCUGUUUCAAUGUAAUAGCAAAAUUGAGUGAUGCAAAAAGAAAAAGCAAUCUGUGGGAACUGCACUGGAAAAUCCUGCUUUGGGAGCUUUUCAAGGAUGUAAAACAUUGUCUAGAGCUUUUUACUUUUAUGGGUAGGAAGUAAAAAAGAAGCAAAGAGGGGAAAUCUCAUUCGUACCACAGUUGAAAGUUGCAGUAAAAAUGAUAAAACUCAUCACAGCAAACUAAUUUUUAUUUCAUUUUAUUUUUUUACAGCAGCUGAACUUUGUUGUUUUGGUUGCAAGAAGGCAGCUUCAUUUAUCGUAAAGAAAAAAAUUAAGAUUUGAACAUGGAAAAAGUAUGCAGAUCUUGUACUCAGCAAAUCACUUCUCCCUUUGGAGAUAAGUACUAAUCCCAUUGAUUUCCGUAUGCUUGAAGACAACUCAGCAAUAUCAAAAUGGCAUUAUAUUACAUAUUUAGAUAUGUUACAGAAAUGCUGAGUCAUGGUCUGAAGCAGUGAUUGAGCAACUUGUGAGAAGGCAGGGCCAACCCAGGGGAACUCAAGUGUACGCAAUGUACGUGAGCGACCAGAAGGUGUGGAGCCAGACCUUAUUUAAGGGUUAGUAGUGAAGACAAGGGGGUUUUGUUGGAGAUCCCUAUGUACUUGAGGUCUUCUGAAGGUAAGCAGAUUCUUUCCUUUGUUUUGUGUCUGUUGCUGUUGCAUUUGAGCAUGUCCUUACUUGCUCCACCCUAAGACUUCACUACUAUGCUCUCAUUGUCCUUGCUUUAUUUUCCAUUGCAUUACAGCAUUAUGAGAUGUGAUGCAUUUCUAACUGGUUUUGCUGCCAAAGGUUAUGAGUUUUUCUUU